UUGGGUUGUCGAUCUUCCUUCCUUCCUUGAGGGAUUCCUUAUUCAUUCGAUACACUAUUGGUGAUUAAAUCCAUAGUCUUUAGAAAAAAAUCGGUAAGUUAUACAUUUGUAUCAAUUAAACAUUGAUUCUAGGAAAUUUAACUGAAUUACGGCUCUUUCUUCUUUUUCGUUUAACCGAUUACAUUUAGAUUUAACCAAAACUUUGUCAUUGAUUCUAACAUUAAGUAGUUUCAUGUGAAUGAUGUUAAACGGCCAGAUUUGGGAGAGGUGGAUCAAAUCUAAACUUGAGGAGUGUCGAAUGGACUAGUAGAGAAGGUGUGUAUCUUGAUUAGUGUUGUAAUGCGUGUGUGUCGGCAUUCAGCCGAAUGCAUAUGUGCUACCCUUGUGAUUUUUG
Molecule: long non-coding RNA, 394 nt
Filed under: Gossypium barbadense (sea-island cotton)
Lineage: Eukaryota; Viridiplantae; Streptophyta; Magnoliopsida; Malvales; Malvaceae
Description: long non-coding RNA (GBAR_LNC013719)
Source: RNAcentral